This 616-nucleotide long non-coding RNA is filed under the name Oncorhynchus kisutch (coho salmon). RNAcentral's name for it is "lncRNA (ENSOKIG00005012476.1)". The record is from RNAcentral. Lineage: Eukaryota; Metazoa; Chordata; Actinopteri; Salmoniformes; Salmonidae.
CCCACCCCUCACAGAGGGGAUAACACAAGGGAGGGCUAGGCUCACUCAGACCAGAGGCUAAUUCCUCUCUUAGCAGCCGGCCGACUACAAACUAUUAUAGAGACGUUUUAUGUCUUGGAAAGGUGUCUGAGAAAACCUGGCUUCACAUACUGUAUUGAGGGAGUGGGAGGAAGCUUCUCCUUAUGGCAGAUGGUGGUCGGCCCCAUCGCCAGCGCCAUGGCCCUGCUGCCCACCCACCAUAUUGAGCAAACAGGACGAGCAAACAGCGGGGAGUGCCUCAGAUAGGUCCCCCCUGCCUCCGCCCAGAGCCCGGGCCGUGAGCAAACACUCCAGCCUGCAGAACAAAGGAGGAUGAAUAAUCGGAGGGAAAUGUCAACGUUUCAUCGUGGCUGCCCUGGCCCGAGCCAGGAAAGUUCCCCCGGCAGCGGUUAGGACCCUAUCUGCCAGGAACGCAGAGCGAGAGAGAGGACGCAGAGAGAGAGAACCAGCACUAGCCCCUCGCACCGGUAACCCGAGAGGCAGGCGGGACGCCUGGAAUAUGGCCCAGCUGGUUCCUGAUGUUGCUAAUUGGUGCAAACGAGGGGGACCUGUGAUUGCGUGGCCAUGAAAACAAAAC